Molecule: ribosomal RNA, 398 nt
Filed under: Neotrypaea uncinata
Lineage: Eukaryota; Metazoa; Arthropoda; Malacostraca; Decapoda; Callianassidae
Description: partial small subunit ribosomal RNA
Source: RNAcentral
AUUCGAGCUUUAACAAACAUACUAAAAUAUUAAAAGUUAUGGUCUCUAAAUUUAAAGGAUUUGGCGGUAAUUUAGUCCAGUUAGAGGAACCUGUUUUAUAAACGAUACACCACGCAAAAUCUUACCUAUUUUCAGUUUGUAUACCGUCAUUAUUAGAUAACUUUUAAAAAAUAAGUUAUUAAAAUAAACAAAAUCUAAUAUAUUAGAUCAAGGUGCAGCGCAUAAAUAGGAACUUAAUGGGUUACAAUAAAUUUAAUUUAUACGAAUGUGUUCUUGAAAAAGUAUUCUGAAGGAGGAUUUAAUAGUAAAAUUAAUUUAAUAAGUUAAUUUGAUAAAGGACCUAAAUUGUGUACAUAUCGCCCGUCACUUUCAUUACUAAAUGAAAUAAGUCGUAACAU